AUCCCAUGGUGAGACAUUUUCGUAAUAAUUCUUUGAAUCUCUCUCAUGCUUCAAAUAGGGAUUCAUCAUACAAUUGCUAAAAUGUGGUGAUCUCUUUUUGUAAUU
Gossypium raimondii (Peruvian cotton) is the source of this 105-nucleotide non-coding RNA. Lineage: Eukaryota; Viridiplantae; Streptophyta; Magnoliopsida; Malvales; Malvaceae. The record is from Rfam.